GCUGGGCACAGUGGCUCAUGUCUGUAAUCCCAGCACUUUAGGAGGCCAAGGCAGGUGGAUCGCUUGAGCUCAGGAGUUUAAGACCAACCUGGGAAACAUGGUGAAAUGCUGUCUCUACAAAAUAUACAAAACUUAGCUGGGUGUGGUGGUGCGCGCAUGUAGUCCCAGCUACUUGGGGGCUGAGGCAGGAAGAUCACUUGAGCCCAGAAGGUUGAGGCUGCAGUGAGCCAUGUUCGUGCCACUGCACUCCAGCCUGAGCAACAAAGUGAGACCCUGUCUCCU
RNAcentral lists this small RNA (282 nucleotides) under Gorilla gorilla gorilla (western lowland gorilla). RNAcentral describes it as "Metazoan signal recognition particle RNA (ENSGGOG00000040991.1)". The stretch from base 136 to 282 matches the Rfam family "Metazoan signal recognition particle RNA". From Rfam's summary of the family: The signal recognition particle (SRP) is a universally conserved ribonucleoprotein. It is involved in the co-translational targeting of proteins to membranes. Lineage: Eukaryota; Metazoa; Chordata; Mammalia; Primates; Hominidae. The record is from RNAcentral.